CAGGGAUGUCAUUUCAACCAACACAGGCACCACCACGACAUUUCGAAGAAACGCAAGGGGCCACACAAGAUAUCUUGGAGGCGAACUUCGAAGACUGGAGUCGGUUAUUUUCUACACCUAACCAGCAGGCCGAUCCUACCUUCCAGACACAUGUGGCCACCGGACGUCCAGGUAGAGAUGUAGGCCCUCCAGACCGACACACAUACCCUACAGACCACGUCCACGCACAGCGUAAAAGAGGUCGACAUGGCCGGGGUGGUUAGGAGGUGCUUCUAGUUGUUUCUUUAUUUUUGUUAUGAACAUGUCGUCAUGUUAUACUUAUUUCGUUCUUAUGCAUCACUUAUUUCAUUCUCAGUUGCGUAUGUGUAUGAAUUGCUAAGUUAUACUUUUCAUAUUCAUCUACUUUACUAACAGUUUUUAUUU
Long non-coding RNA from Panicum virgatum (switchgrass), 423 nucleotides. RefSeq lists it as uncharacterized. The transcript has 3 exons. The record is from RefSeq and is a predicted model, not a curated record. Lineage: Eukaryota; Viridiplantae; Streptophyta; Magnoliopsida; Poales; Poaceae.